UAGUAACUGCGAGUGAAGCGGGAUCGGCUCAAUGUGUGAAUCUGGCUUGGGGUAAACCCGUGUCCGAGUUGUGCACUAUGGACGCUUUGUCUGCGUAUGUAACGGCGGUGGAAGUCCGUUGAAACACGGCACCUCAGAGGGUCACAGUCCUGUACCACCUGCCUGCACUCGCGCCAAUGACAAGCAAUCCUCGAGUCGCGUAGUUUUGUAAUGCUGCGCCAAGUGGGAGGUAGAGACCUUCUAAGGCUAAAUAUGAUGACGUGACCGAUAGCACACAAGUACCGCGAGGGAAAGGUGAAAAGCAACCAUGAAAAAUGGGUUGAAACAGUAGUGAAAGCGCUACCGGGAUAAGGGCUAUCGGGUGCUGGGGCUCUUUGGGUGUGCUUUAGUGCUACCCUUGGAGACGGCCCGCGCGGGUUGAUGUUGGGGCGAUAGACGCGCCGUUGGAAUUCGGCUGUCUUCGGGCAGUGUUGUAGCCUUCGGUUGCUGAUCCUCCUGCGACCUUGUGUGAUUGCGGGUCUUGUGACCGUUAGCCGCCCGUCUUGAAACACGGACCAAGGAGUGCACCUUGCAUGCGAGUCGAAGGGAAUUGAAACCUGGAGGCGUAGCGAACGCGACGAUGGGGAAUGUCCUUGUGGCAGACACCCGCACCCGCCUUGUGCGAGGUAGAGCAUGUACGGUGCGACCCGAAAGAUGGUGAACUAUGCCCGGGUAAGGUGAAGCCAGUGGAAACGCUGGUGGAGGCCUGUAGCGAUUCUGACGUGCAAAUCGAUCGCGUAACCUGGGUAUAGGGGCGAAAGACCUAUCGAACCGUCUAAU
RNAcentral lists this ribosomal RNA (819 nucleotides) under uncultured fungus. Its description in RNAcentral is "LSU rRNA". It matches the Rfam family "Eukaryotic large subunit ribosomal RNA", at positions 81 to 948 of the family's 3401-position model. Lineage: Eukaryota; Fungi. The record is from RNAcentral.